Molecule: non-coding RNA, 402 nt
Organism: Plectropomus leopardus (leopard coralgrouper)
Lineage: Eukaryota; Metazoa; Chordata; Actinopteri; Perciformes; Serranidae
Source: RefSeq, a predicted model, not a curated record
GACAGAGCCUCCACCUGAGGUGUGUAUUUGCAUCGUCCCCUGGUGUUCCUCAUCACGUUGGACCGGAGGUUACCCAACACGUCAGACUACUCACCCAGCAGACUGGCCACAAUGGUUACCAGUCCAGUUCCUGCACCCAGCUCCAGCACCUCCUUUCCCUGCAGGUUCACCCUCUUCCUGUUGUUUUCCAGAGGGGGACUUUCACUCAGGAUGUCAUCCACUAAUCUUAGGAUCAGCGGUUUGAUACCUGGCUCCUCCAGGCUGCAUGUUGAAGUUCGCUUAGGCAAGAUACCGAACCCCAAAUUGCAUCGGAGCACAGCGACAAUAGACACGAGGCCCGUUCCUGCCCCGAUCUCCAGCACCGCCUUGUCCACGAGAUUCAACUCUUCACGAUGAGUAUCC